GAUGAACGCUGGCGGCGUGCCUAAUACAUGCGAGUCGAGCGAACAGACGAGGAGCUUGCUCCUCUGACGUUAGCGGCGGACGGGUGAGUAACACGUGGAUAACCUACCUAUAAGACUGGGAUAACUUCGGGAAACCGGAGCUAAUACCGGAUAAUAUAUUGAACCGCAUGGUUCAAUAGUGAAAGACGGUUUUGCUGUCACUUAUAGAUGGAUCCGCGCCGCAUUAGCUAGUUGGUAAGGUAACGGCUUACCAAGGCAACGAUGCGUAGCCGACCUGAGAGGGUGAUCGGCCACACUGGAACUGAGACACGGUCCAGACUCCUACGGGAGGCAGCAGUAGGAAUCUUCCGCAAUGGGCGAAAGCCUGACGGAGCAACGCCGCGUGAGUGAUGAAGGUCUUCGGAUCGUAAAACUCUGUUAUUAGGGAAGAACAAAUGUGUAAGUAACUAUGCACGUCUUGACGGUACCUAAUCAGAAAGCCACGGCUAACUACGUG
RNAcentral lists this ribosomal RNA (496 nucleotides) under uncultured bacterium. RNAcentral's name for it is "partial 16S ribosomal RNA". It matches the Rfam family "Bacterial small subunit ribosomal RNA", at positions 28 to 507 of the family's 1533-position model. The record is from RNAcentral.